GACGAACGCUGGCGGCGUGCUUAACACAUGCAAGUCGAACGGAAAGGCCCUGCUUUUGUGGGGUGCUCGAGUGGCGAACGGGUGAGUAACACGUGAGUAACCUGCCCUUGACUUUGGGAUAACUUCAGGAAACUGGGGCUAAUACCGGAUAGGAGCUCCUGCUGCAUGGUGGGGGUUGGAAAGUUUCGGCGGUUGGGGAUGGACUCGCGGCUUAUCAGCUUGUUGGUGGGGUAGUGGCUUACCAAGGCUUUGACGGGUAGCCGGCCUGAGAGGGUGACCGGCCACAUUGGGACUGAGAGACGGCCCAGACUCCUACGGGAGGCAGCAGUGGGGAAUAUUGCACAAUGGGCGGAAGCCUGAUGCAGCAACGCCGCGUGGGGAUGACGGCCUUCGGGUUGUAAACCGCUUUCGCCUGUGACGAAGCGUGAGUGACGGUAAUGGGUAAAGAAGCACCGGCUAACUACGUG
RNAcentral lists this ribosomal RNA (467 nucleotides) under uncultured bacterium. Its description in RNAcentral is "partial 16S ribosomal RNA". It matches the Rfam family "Bacterial small subunit ribosomal RNA", at positions 28 to 507 of the family's 1533-position model. The record is from RNAcentral.